This 33000-nucleotide long non-coding RNA is filed under the name Selaginella moellendorffii. Its description in RNAcentral is "long non-coding RNA (SMOE_LNC000140)". Lineage: Eukaryota; Viridiplantae; Streptophyta; Lycopodiopsida; Selaginellales; Selaginellaceae. The record is from RNAcentral.
CUCAUUUAAGUAAAUUGUAAGAAAAAAAAACUUGGAAGCUGUUAUAGUCCCAUGCACGUGAAAGGUUCUAAGAAUAUCUUAUUUUAUGAAUAAUUGUUUAAACUUGAGCCUUAGCUCGAUUCAGAAGAUCGUCCCAACACACCUACGAAAGAACGGUGCGCUUUCUUGUCAUGUCUUCCAAUUCCAUGCUGAUAUUCAUCGCCACCUUUGGUUUCUCAAUUGUCUAGUGCAUAAUGCAUCGUCUCAAUGACACUACAAGCGCCAUUGUCCUCCAAGCUCGAAUUAUACUUGGCUUUACCACCCCUAGGAGCAAACCUCGCAAGAGUCUCAGUUCUACUUGUCAGUUUUCCUCCCAAUGGACGCCAUGGAACUAUCCAACAGCGGUGGCAUGGCGAGCUACGCGAAAACCUGUCCGGAAAGGAGCGUACCGCGACCUAGUGCUGAGCGACGUAGAUGAAAUUUUUUUGUGGUCGACCAACACGGGCCUCGAGAGCUCUGGAAAUCUCGUAAUCCGGAGCAAAACUGGAGCUUUGCUGUGGCAGAGCUUUGGUCAUCCCGGUGAUGCUAUGCUCCCUGCCAGCCUCUAAAACCAGGGAUGAAGUUAGUAGCCAGCAUCUCUAACGAGAACAAAGAGCGAGGGUACUUCUCACUCGGGUAAGCUGCUUCUUGGUCGCUUUGAACUCCAGUAUGUUGGGAUAUUUUGGAGAGCUCUGGAGCUCCGACGAGGAAGAAGAAGAGAUAUCGUUUCUCUUCCUCGUCAAUAGCAGCUUGGAAAUCCACGGGACGAAAGGUGUUAUGUGGUCCACUCCAACGAUCGGUGAUGUUACUGGUCAAUACGGAUACCAGUUACUCAAGAUCUACUCGAAUGGAGAGCUCCAUUUUACCUCGAGAUCAUUCAGCAGCAGCAACAGCACGACGAGCAUCGACUUAAAACCCGCAGUUAUUCGGGAACAGCUUGCUUACUCGAACCUGUGGGAUCUCGUUCCAGACAGCUGAUGGAUGCCUCUGUCCGGAGCUCAAGAACGACACCAGGGGAUCGUCAUCCAUGGAGUACGUUUCUUCCGGGGACAAGGAGAGGUGCAAGCCCGAAAACGAACCUGGAAGAGCCUGCGAGAACUCGCAACAUACUACAUGCUCGAAGCCACAGUACGAUACUUCUACAAACCUCUAGAUUUAUCCAGUGCGCUCCACAACGUCACUCCAGCAGCGUGCAUGGCCCUGUGUAUCAAAAACUGUUCGUGCAAAGCAGUUCUAAGCCAGGAGAAAACGAGUACCUGUUUCCAGAUGAAUGAAGUUUUUGCUUUGAACAGAACUCGCAACGUCGUCGAUCAAGCUUUGCUGUUUUAGAUCAAGUUGUACCAAGAUGGAGAUCUUCCAAAGCUCUCAGCACCAGGCAGCUCGCAGAACAAAGUAGCCAAGCAGCAGAAAAAGGCAAAGCCAGCCCUCGUCGCGGCUUUCUCUGUGGCAACCAUGGCUAUAAUCAUCAUCGCAAUGGUGAUCUGGAAGAAACAGAUAAACUCGUAGCUCAAACACUACAAACCAUCGCUUCCAUCCGGUGCUAUGGACGUGGUGCGCGUCUUCACGUACCCGGAGCUCCACACUGCAACCAAAGCCUUCAGUAAGAAAAUCGCAAGUGGAGGCUUUGGCACGGUUUUCGAAGGGAUACUCUCGGAUGGAUCCAAGGUUCCUGUCAAGCGUCUGGAAACCUUCUCGAGCCAAGGAUACAAGCAGUUCAAGGCGGAGGUGGGGGCGAUCAGAAGCAUCCAUCACAAGAACCUCGUAAGACUCAAAGGCUUUUGUUCCCAGGAAUCACACCACUUCCUGGUUUACGAGUACGUACCAAACGGAUUGCUAGACAAGUGGAUCUACAAGCCGCUGGAAGAGCUCAACUGGGACACGAGAUUCAGGAUAGUCGAGGAGAUUGCUCAAGGGAUUCGCUACCUCCACGAGGAAUGCAGCACUAGAGUCCUCCACUUGGAUAUCAAGCCGCAAAACAUACUCCUGGACGAGAACUUUGGUGUCAAGAUAGCAGACUUUGGACUGUCCAGGAUGGUAGAGCAAGGAGAUCUAAGCGAUGUCAUGACCAUGAUCCGAGGAACACCCGGACAUAUGAGAUGAGAGUGAGCGACAAACUGGACGUCUACAGCUUUGGGAUCCUUGUGCUGGAAGUGGCUACCGGAUUACAAGCUUUCCAUACCUGUGUGUCUUGCGGGAGGAGCCCGGGCAUGGGCGUUUGAGAAGCUUCGGUCUGGGAAGUUAAUGGAGAUGUUAGAAGAGAAGAGGGCCCGGCACGAAAUGGAGGCUAUCUCUAAGGCCGAGAAGCUGCUUCGCAUUGGAGUGUGGUGCAUCCAGCCGGAUCCAAGGGAGCGCCCUGCAAUGGCUCAAGUCGUCAAAAUGUUGCAAGGAGUGCCCUAAAAUUCUUUGACCAAUGAAUUCUUUAUUAUUUAGAUCCUUUAAGGAGUUAAAGCUUUUAGUUUAAUCUAGUUUAAUAUGUUAUAUUUUAGUUUAGUUAAGAAAAUUAAAAAAGUUUUAUUUGGAAUAUUUUCCCAAUUUUUCCUUUUAAUAUUAAAACAUGGUUAUUAUUUAAAUGUCAGUUACGAAAACCACUUUAGAAUCAUUGUUUUUUUAGAUCUUAUUAAAGAAGUAAGAAAAAUAAUUAUUGCUCCGUGUUUUUGAAUAAAUAUGACAAUAUCAUUUUUAAAUGCACAACCAAAUAGUAGAUGGAAUAUCUUUCCUGAUUUUAGUAUAAUAUAUAAAGGCUUUGAUUUACAAGUAGAAUUUACAAAUAUGAUGGUUGGUUUUGUUAUGGAUGCUUUUUGUAAAAUUUGGAUCCACAGAAUAUAUCAAUGGACAAUUUACCAAAUCAUAUCAGUUUGAUUCAGAUUAUAUUUUUCCACAUAAAGUAAAACGUACUCACAACCACAUAAAAACGAUUUCAAUAUUUAUAAGGUCUGCAUAAGAAAUGGACCACACCAUUUUUGUCUUUUCUACAUUAUCAAAUGGGAACUUUCUGCAAUCUCUAAAUGGAAUAUUCACGCUUUACAUGCAACUGGAUUGCAAUCUAGUUUUAUAUACAAAGAGUGUAAUUGUUUGGAGCACUCACACAAAUAGCAAAGGCAAUGGAUGCUUUCUAAGGUUGCAAAAAGAUGGAAAUAUGGUAAUCUAUGAUGAAAAUUACACGGUUGUUUGGUCAUACAGCAUUUACUGGAAAGACAAAUGGAUUACUAGCGCAUUAUGUGUUAAUAACUCUGGACGUGUUAUAGUAUGCAACACUGUAGAGCAAACUUGUAUAUGCCCAUCACGAAGAUGAGAAUUUAAAAUCUAGCAUUCACUCUACACAAAUAUGAGACAAACGGACAUAAGUUGAUGCUCCAGAAGCUCUUGCGAUGGCGCCAAACCGAUUAUUGCCAUGAGUUUUACAAGCCCCAAGCAGCGUCAUGUAGGCAAUGGAGCCCGGCUCGAUUGGCAUGCUAUCGAUCACCUCUUGGGCCUCAUCAAGCCGGCCAGUUCACCCAAGCAAAUCGAUCACACACAUGAAAUGCUCCAAGUUUGGAGCUAUGUGAUGAUCGAGCACAAGAGGCUGGAAACUAUGCUUACCACUCUCAAAGAGCCGGGCGUGGCUACAUGCAGAGAGAACACUGACAAUUGUAACUUCGUCCGGAUCAAGCCCCUCGUGCUUCAUCCUCCAGAAGAAAUCAAAAGUUUCAUCAAAAUGACCGUUGUUUGCAUAUACCGAGAUGAUUCCAUUCCAUGAAACCAUGUCCUGCCCUGUCGUUGCCUCAGAAGCCAACCUUGCCCCUCCAAGGUAUCCACACUAAGCAUUUGGUGUUGAGUAGAAAACUAAGCUGGGAGAAGAAUCUAAAUGGAAACAAUGAAUUUCUCUCUUGAGACUUCCUGAAAAUUAGUGGUGCCCAAGUGCUAGUGAAAAAAUCAAAGUAGAAAGAUUCAAGGAAAGGGAGAAAUCCUUGUCCAAACGCCAAAUUCAUACUCAAGAUUGAGAAAUUGUGCUUGCAUAAUGUCUGUCAAAGCUACCUGAUUCAAUUGUGAAUUCUGGAUGUCUAGUGUGAAUGAAAGUGUGAUGGUUCACCUCAGUGCUUGGAGAGUUCUUCAAUUCGAACAUCAAAUCAGAACUGAAUCUAUCUCCCCAGAACAAAAAAUUGAUCAUUAAUGUGUUAGCAAUCUAAGUUUUUAAACUGACAAAGGACAGCAUUCGAAGAAACAUCCCAAGAAAAUAUUUUAGAACCCUAAAACGCAUCAUGGUUCUAUGCGCGUAAAUGCUGCGGCGGCACUACUCCGAAAAUGCCGAUCUCCCACGGAGGCGCGGAUUCUCCACUCGCAGAUCGCCAGGGCGGGCCUGGAUCGCAACACAUUCGUCGCGAAUCUUGUCAUUCACAUGUACAGCGUCUGCGGCAGCCUGCGGGAUGCCGAGAACGUCUUCCACAGCGGCGCAGCCCGCCGCAACGUCUACUCGUGGACGAUCUUGCUGCGAGCAUUUGCCCAGACAGAGGAUCUUGCCAGAGCCAGGGACGUUUUCACGCGAAUGGCUCAUCGCGAUGUGGUCUCCUGGAAUGCGCUGAUUUCCGGGUGCGCAGGCGCUGGGAAUCUCUCGCGGUCGCAGGAGCUCUUCGAUUCCAUCCCGGAGAGAGAUCUUGUGUCCUGGAACACGAUCAUCGCGGCGUAUGCCCAGAAUGGGCAUUGCAGAGAGGCGCUGGGAUUUUUCCGGGGCUUGGAUCUCGAGGGCGUGGCGCCGGAUUCCAUCAGCUUCGUGAGCGUUCUCGAUGCCAUUGCCGGGAUCGAAGGGCUGGAUAGAGAUCUGGCAAGGGCGAUUGCCAUGGAAGCAAUCUGGCUGGGAAUUCAUACCCAGAUCGCUGUCGGGGCGGCGCUCGUUGUGGUUUAUGGAAAGAUUGGCGAGGCCGAGAGCGCGGAGCAUUUCUUUGAUCGGAUCAUUGGCAGGAAUGCGAUAUGCUGGAACGCCAUGCUGUCCGCGUAUGCCCAAUCAGGGAAUCUUUGCAAAGCGCGAGAGUUCUUCGACCGAAUGCCUUGCGUUGAUGUGAUCUCCUGGACGACGAUAAUUGAUGCCACAUCUCGCCAUGAACGGCUCCAGGAGGGAAAGGAUCUCUUUGAUUGCAUGAAACAAAGAGAUUUGGCUGUCUGGAACGCUCUACUUUCGGCAUUUGCCCAAAAGGGGCAUGUUUUGGAGUCUAUAGAUUUGUAUGAAAGGCUCCCAGCCCACGAUCUUCGUUCAAGAACAUCACUGCUCAUAGCUUAUGCUUCGAAAGGUGACAUGGUUUCGUUGCUUGAGAUAUUUCAUCAAACAAGCCACAAGGACGUCACUCUCUGGAACGCGAUGAUCACAGCACUUGCCCUGCUUGGGCAUCUGCUAGAAGCUCUAGACCUUUUCGAUUCAAUGGACGUUCUCAAGAACAAACUCACGUACAUCAUCGCCAUCGACGCCUGCGGCAGCCUUGGCGAUCCUGAUCGAUGCGAGAGGAUCUUCCACUUGAGCCAAGCCUGCGGAUCCUUGCGUAGCAAUCACGGAGUAUCGUGCUCCUUGAUCAAGAUGUUUGGCAGAUCCGGUGCGGUGGAGAGGGCCGAGCUCGUCUUCGAGCAGAAGAAGCGGCGGAGAGAGCUCUGGAACGCCAUGAUCGCGACGUAUGCUCACAAUGGAUGCCUCGACGAAGCGAUGCUCCUUUUCAAGACAAUGCCCCGGAGAGAUCUUUCCUCGUGGAGCAUCGUCGCUAGAGCUCAAGCCCAGCAGGGACACUUCGAUCAAGCACUGUUCUUGCUCGAGAUCUCGCCAGAGAUCACUAUCGCGGCAUGCAACGCGCUGAUCACCGCGUAUCUCCAGAGAGGCCACCUCGCUAGCGCGAGGCGGGUAUUCGAUCGGAUGGAGCAGCGAGACACGAGUUCGUGGAGCUCGAUCAUCGCGGCCUAUGCCCAGCUCGGUCACUGCGAGGAAUCACUCGCGCUGUUCUGGCAGAUCGACACAACACCCGACCGCGCGACGUUCCUCGCAGCUCUCGAUGCGUGCUCGGGCCUCUCGAGCCUCUCCCACUGCCGCCAAGUUCACGCAGCGGCGGAUCACACUGGCUGGAUCUCCGAUCUCGCCGUGGCGACUUCACUGGUGGCGAGCUAUGGAAAAUGCAAGGGAGUGGAGGAAUCCAAGGCAGUGUUUGAUCGCAUCGAGCACCCAUCCACUGUCUCGUGGAACUCUUUGCUAAGAUCAUAUGCGCAAAACGGGCAUCUCGCCAAGGCCGCGAGUUUCCUCGAGGAAACCAUUCCUUCUCCAGACGUGGUCUCGUUUAACACGCUCGCGGCGGCUUAUAUCCAGCACGGGAGAGUGAACGAGGCUCUGGAGAUUCUCACGAAAAGGAUGCCCUGCUGGGACAGCUUCUCGCACAAAACAGCUAUGGUGGCGCAUGCCCAAGCCGGGCAUAUCCACAAAGCAAAGGAAAUAUUUGAGAAAAUGGAGGAGCCAAGCACGGUCUCGUGGAACACCUUGAUUUGUAUCUUCGUCCAAGCCGGGGAAUGCGAGAGUGCUGCUCGGCUCUUUCACCAAAUGGAUCUGGAAGGCACCCAGGCGGACAAGGUGAGUUUCUUGGCUGUUCUUGACGCCCUUGGGAGGAUCACCGCUCUCCAAAAGGGAAAGCUUGUGCAUGGUGAGCUCCAUCACUCUAGGUUUCAAUCCGACGUGAUGACAAGCAAUGCCGUUGUCAACUUUUAUGGGAGGUGUGGAUACCUUCAAGGGGCAAAGGUGGCGUUUGAGGCAACGACAAGGCAGGACGUGGUUUCAUGGAAUGGAAUCAUCUCGGUGUAUGCAAACAACGGGCAUUUUGAGGAAACUUUUGAUCUCUUCUGGAGGAUGAAGCUCGAGGGGCUUGAUCCGGACGAAGUCACGUUUGUCAGUGUUCUCUCUGCAUGUAGCCAUGCCGGGUUCUUUGAGAGUGGUAAGUAUAGUUUCCAGUCUCUUGUGCUCGAUCAUCACAUAGCUCCAAACUUGGAGCAUUUCAUGUGUGUGAUCGAUUUGCUUGGGCGAAGUGGCCGGCUUGACGAGGCCCAAGAGGUGAUCGAUAGCAUGCCAAUCGAGCCGGGCUCCAUUGCCUACAUGACGCUGCUUGGAGCUUGUAAAACUCAUGGCAAUAAUCGGCUUGGAAACAUGGCUGCUCCAAGCGCCAUCACAAGAGCUUCUGGAGCAUCAACUUAUGUCCUUCUAUCUCAUAUUUGUGUAGAGUGAAUGCUAGAUUUUAAAUUCUCAUCUUGGUGAUUGCCAUAUAGAAGUUUGCUCUACAGUGUUGUAUACGACAACAUGUCCAGAGUUAUCAACACAUAAUGCACUAGUAAUCCAUUUGUCUUUCCAGUAAAUGCUGUCUGACCAAACAACCGUGUAAUUUUCAUCAUAGAUUACCAUAUUUCCAUCUUUUUGCAACCUUAGAAAGCAUCCAUUGCCUUUGCUAUUUGUGUGAGUGCUCCAAACAAUUACACUCUUUGUAGAUUGCAGUCAAGUUGCAUGUAAAGCAUGAAUAAACCAUUUAAAGAUUGCAGAAAGUUCCCAUUUGAUAAUGUAGAAAAGACAGAAUGGUGUGGUCCAUUUCUUAUGCAUACCUUAUAAUAUUGCAAUCGUUUUUAUAUGGUUUUGUAGGGUGAAAUAAGCAAGUUUUACUUUAUCUGGAAAAAUAUAAUCUGAAUCGAGCUGAUACUAUAUGCUAAACCGUCCAUUGAUAUAUUCUACAAAAUCAUCCAUAACAAAAUCAGCCAUCAUAUCUGUAAAUUCUACUUGUAAAUCAAAGCCUUUAUAUUUUAUCUACUAUUUGGUUGUGCAUUUAAUAAUGAUAUUGUCAUUCUUAAGGAUUUACCAUUUUUUGAAAACACUACUUUAGAAAGUGAAAAUCCUGAGUAAUAAUUAUCUUUUCUUCCUACGUCUUUAAUAAGAUCUAAAAGAAAACCCAUGAUUCUAUGUUUAAAACUGGUUAGUUUGUUAUAUUUUGGUUUAGUUAAGUAAAAUUAAAAUAGUUUAAUUUUUAUUUAUUUAUAAAUUCUUUAAUUUUAAAAUGUAAAACCUUUUACAAGCGUUUGAGAUGAAUAUUUAAUAUGCCCAAAUCUUUAUUUCUCUUAAUUUCUAUAUUAUUUCUAAAACAUUGUUACACUUUAAGUGUCAUUUACGAAAAUCCAAAUUCUAUAUCACUAAGCCUGGAUCUAAAUAAUAAAUAAUAUCCUCGAAGAAUCUUAGGGCACUUGCAUCGGGCGCUGCUUUGGAUCCGGUUGGAUGCACCACACUCCAAUGCGAAGCAGCUUCUCGGCCUUAGAGGUAGCCUCCAUUUCUUGCCGCGCCCUCUUCUCUUCUAACAUCUCCAUUAACUUCCCAGACCGAAGCUUCUCAAACCGCCAGGAACUUUGGGCUCCUCCCGCAAGACACACAGGUAUGGAAAGCUUGAAGUCCGCUAGCCACUUCCAGCACAAGGAUCCCAAAGCUGUAGAUGUCCAGUUUGUCUCUCACUCUCAUCUGCAACCAUUCCGGAGCCAUGUAUCCGGGUGUUCCUCAGAUCAUUGUCAUGACAUCGCUUAGAUCUCCUUGCUCUACCAUCCUCGACAGUCCAAACUCUGCUAUCUUGACACCAAAGUUUUCGUCCAGGAGUAGGUUUUGCGGCUUGAUGUCCAAGUGCAGGACUCUAGUGCUGCAUUCCUCGUGGAGGUAGCACAUCCCUCGAGCAAUCUCCUCGACUAUCUUGAAUCUCGUGUCCCAGUUGAGCUCUUCCCGCGGCUUGUAGAUCCACUUGUCUAGCGAUCCGUUUGCUACGUACUCGUAAAUCAGGAAGUAGUGUGAUUCCUGGGAAAAAAAGCCUUUGAGUCUUACAAGGUUCUUGUGAUGGAUGAUUCCGAUCGCUCUCACCUCCGCCUUGAACUGUUUGUAUCCUUGGCUCGAGAAGCUCUCCAGCCGUUUCACGGCAACGGAGAGUAUCCCUUCGAAAACCGUGCCAACGCCUCCACUUGCGAUUUUCUCACUGAAGGCUUUGGUUGCAGUGAGGAGCUCCGGGUAAUUGAAGACGUGCACCACGUCCAUAGCACCGAACGGAAACGAUGGUUUGUAGUGUUUGAGAUACGAGUUUAUCUGUUUCUUCCAGAUCACCAUUGCGAUGAUGAUUAUAGCCAUGGUUGCCACAGAGAAAACCGCGACGAUGGCUGGCUUUGCCUGUUUUUGCUACUUGGCGACUUUGUGAGUUGAGCUUCGGAAGAUCUCCAGCUUGGUACAGCUUGAUCGAAAACAGCAAAGCUUGAUCGACGACGUUGCGAGUUUUGUUCAGAGAAAAAACUUCGAUCAUCUGGAAACAGGUAGUCGUUUCUCCUGGCUUAGCACCCCUUUGCACGAACAGUUUUUGAUACACAGGGCCAUGCACGCUGCUGGAGUGACGUUGUGGAGCGCACUGGAUAAAUCUAGAGGUUUGUAGAAGUAUCGUACUGUGGCUUCGAGCAUGUAGUGAUGUUGCGAGUUCUCGCAGGUUCUUCCAGGUGCUUGCAUCCCUCCUUGUUCCCGGAAGAAACGUACUUCGUGAACGAUGCAGAGGCAUCCUUCAGCUGUCUCGAACGAGAUCCCACAGGUUCGAGUAAGCGAGCUUUUCCCGAAGAAGAGGGGGUUUAAGUUGAUGCUCUUCGUGCUGUUGCCGGUGCUGAAUGAUCUCGAGGUAAACCGGGGCUCUCCAUUCGAGUAGAUCUUGAGGAACUGGUGCCCUGUUUGAUCAGUAACACCACCGAUCGUUGGAGUGGACCACAUAACACCUUUCGUCCCGUGGAUUUCCAAGCUGCUAUUGACGAGGAAGAGAAAUGAUAUCUCUUCUUCUUCCUCAUCGGAGCUCCAGACCUCUCCAAAAGAUCCUCAACAUACUGGAGUUCAAAGCGACCGAGAAGCGGCUACCUCGAGUGAGAAGUACCCUGGCUCUUUGUUCUCCUAGAGAUGCUGGCUACUAACUUCAUCCCAGGGAGCACAGCAUCACAGGGAUGAUCAAAGCUCUGCCACAGGAAAGCUCCAAUUUUGCUCCGGAUGACGAGAUUUCCAGAGCUCUCGAGGGCCAAGACUUGCGCUCCAGAUCCUCCCGUGUUGGUCAACCACACAAAGCUUCCAAUGUCACUGGAAGCACCAUCUUCCUCCAAGCUCCACUCUCGAAUCCACUCCAGAUAUUUCGAAUUAGCCUUGGCUUCAGCACCCCUUCCUGCCUCCUACUUGGGAGCAAACCUCCCAAGAGUUCCAGUUCUACUUGUCAGUCUUCUACGCCAUGGACGACAAGGAGAGUUUCAAUCUCUACUAUCUAGCAGCGGUGACAUGGCGAGCUACGCGAAAACCGUCCCGAAAGGAGCGUACCUCAGCUUUACCAGCGAUGGCGACCUGGUGCUGAGCGACGUGGAUAGGUACCCAGCUUGUGCUUGGCUUGGCUGUGGAUUCCUGUUGGCAUUGUCCAAGGAGAACCAGCGGACGAUCUUAUGAAUCGAGCUAAUGAUCAAGUUUAAAUAUUCUUAGAACCUUAGAACGAACUAUGAUUUACUUGAAUGAGGACUUGUUCAAAGCUACUUGUCUCCCAAUGGACGAUCCAGCAGCAAUGGCAUGGCAAGCUACCUUACAAACUCAGUUGAAAAAAGUAAAAGUAUAGCGAAAAUCUUGUAAAAAUAUAAAAUUCGUAGAGAGUAUCAGCAAUUAUAAGCUUUUGAUCCCAGAUGUUGCUUACACUUGUCAUCAAACGCAGAUCACUUCAUCAGGUUCACCGUUUUGGGGCACAUUCCAAGGCAGGUACCAAAAGGGUUCUUCUUGCAGCAGUAGUGUUUCUUGGACGAGUCGCACAGCUGAAAGCAGGUACCAAGAGGGUUCUUGAGGCAGCAGAAGUAUUUGACAUUGGUCUCGCAAAGUUGCAGGCAGCCGCCGAGUCCAUUCUUGAGGCAGCAGUAGUAUUUGAUCUUGGAGUCGCACUCCUGAACACAUGAUCCCAAACCAUCCUUCAGGCAGCAGUACUUAUCUUGGAGGCCUGCAGCAUUAACAAACGGAGAAGCAGUGGCGCAUAAUAAAUAUCACAAGGACAACUCAUGAUCACAACAAGAGGGAUCAUAACGUGAUCUAUGUUACCGUGUUUGGAGGGGAUGACAACAUUGAGACCAGCAGCCUCGUUACUACCUUCACGAGACCCCUCAACGAUGUAAGUCACAUCGCUCUCCUUGUCAGUCACUAGAACGAUAUCUGCAAGUUAGACAAACGAUUUGCAAGAAUGCGGACACGUACGCUCAAUGUUGCGAGAUGCAUCGGCUACGAAGAGCAGCAGGCCAAAGAGGAGGGCGGAAAGAAGAAACACUUUGGCCAUUCUCCUUGAACUGAACCCAGAAAUGACAAUAUAAGGUUUUGCAUCUGUUUAUAAAGGGGGAACGCCUGCAUGCACAAAAUAUCUUCUAAAAAUAUCUUCCAAAAAUAUCUUCUAAUGUUUCCUCCUCUCAAAAUUGGAUCAACGUGCUAAAGUAUUUGUCAUGGUUUUUUGAGUGAUAACUCAUUGCCAUCUGUUUGCCAAGGUGGAAGUCACAAAACCCAUAGCAAGUCGUUUGACGUCAGCUGAAAUAUACAUGGUUGGUCUCAAGUAUCUGGCACCCAUGAAAAUCGAUAUCUAAACAAGGUGCUUGCGCUAAAGCCAAGUAAAUGAUCGAUGGCAUCACCUGUCUGAAAAACCUCUAGAGCUUCUUGGUAGCAUCAUGUCUAUUUCCAAAUGGAAUAGGGAUGCAAGCCAAUGUCCCCUUCACCCGAGGGGAACCGNNNNNNNNNNNNNNNNNNNNNNNNNNNNNNNNNNNNNNNNNNNNNNNNNNNNNNNNNNNNNNNNNNNNNNNNNNNNNNNNNNNNNNNNNNNNNNNNNNNNNNNNNNNNNNNNNNNNNNNNNNNNNNNNNNNNNNNNNNNNNNNNNNNNNNNNNNNNNNNNNNNNNNNNNNNNNNNNNNNNNNNNNNNNNNNNNNNNNNNNNNNNNNNNNNNNNNNNNNNNNNNNNNNNNNNNNNNNNNNNNNNNNNNNNNNNNNNNNNNNNNNNNNNNNNNNNNNNNNNNNNNNNNNNNNNNNNNNNNNNNNNNNNNNNNNAGGGCUCAUUUGUAUGAUGAGAAAGUGGACAAAUUGAGCCAAAGAGAACAGAUCCCUCUCACCAUAAGUGACAUUGACUUGCAUUCUUAUUCCAUUUUGAAAUAGACAUGAUGCUACCAAGAAGCUCUAGAGGUUUUCUAGACGAUGCCAUCGAUCAUUUACUCGGCUUUAGCGCAAGCACUUUGUUUAAAAUAACAAAACCCAGGCUGACAAAUCAAAUAAAAAGUGAUACGCAUAUCGAUUUUCAUGGGUGCCAGAUACUUGAGACCAACCAUGUAUAUUUCAGCUGAUGUCAAACGACUUGCUAUGGGUUUUGUGACUUCCACCUUGGCAAACAGAUGGCAAUGAGUUAUCACUCAAAAAACCAUGACAAAUACUUUAACACGUUAUAAUCUUGGGAUCGAAGAAAAACCAAUUUUGGGAAUCAGAGGAGGAAACAUUAGAAGAUAUUUUUCAGGCGUUCCCCCUUUAUAAAUAGAUGCAAAACUUUAUAUUUUCAUUUCUGGGUUCAGUUCAAGGAGAAUGGCCAAAGUGUUUCUUCUUUCCGCCCUCCUCGUUGGCCUGCUGCUCUUCGUAGCCAAUGCAUCUCGCAACACUCAGCAUACGUGUCCGCAUUCUUGCAAAUCGUUUGUCUAACUUGCAGAUAUCGUUCUAGUGACUGACAAGGAGAGCGAUGUGACUUACAUCGUUGAGGGGUCUCGUGAAGGUAGUAACGAGGCUGCUGGUCUCAAUGUUGUCAUCCCCUCCAAACACGGUAACAUAGAUCACGUUAUGAUCCCUCUUGUUGUGAUCAUGAGCUGUUCUUGUGAUAUUUAUUAUGCGCCACUGCUUCUCCGUUUGUUAAUAAUGCAAGCCUCCAAGAUACGUACUGCUGCCUGAGGAACGCCUUUGGAUGUCUUCAGAAGUGCGACUCCAACAUCAAUUACUUCUGCUGCCUCAAGAAUGCAAUAGGUGGCUGCUUACAGAUGUGCGACUCAUCCAAGAAACACUACUGCUGCAAGAAGAACCUUUUUGGCACCUGCGUUGAAAUGUGCCCCAAAACGGUGAACCUGAUGAAGUGAUCUGCGUUUGAUGGCAAGUGUAAGCAACAUCUGGGAUCAAAAGCUUAUAAUUGCUGAUACUCUCUACAAAUUUUAUAUUUUUACAAGAUUUUCGCUAUACUUUUACUUUUUUCAACUGAGUUUGUAAGGUAGCUUGCCAUGCCACUGCUGCUGGAUCGUCCAAUUAUAGUUCGUUCUAAGGUUCUAAGAAUAUAUAAACUUGAAUUUUAGCUCGAUUCAUAAGAUCGUCCGCUGGUUCUCCUUGGACAACGCCAACAGGAAUCCACAAAGGGAUGUCCGCUUGUUGUGGCAAAGAGUCAAGGGUGGCAAAGGGAAGCUUGUGGUGGAUCAGAUUCAAAGGUUGCAAGCCUGUGAACACAGGCAAAGGUGGCAAGCCUACAAGCAAAAGGCAAAGGUGCUGCCAAGAGUAGAGAACUGCUGUUUGCAUGAACCUACGCACCCGAAAUACUACUCGAUAGCCCUGCUCAUGAUCCACUAGAGUUGCAAGCUCAUGAUCAAAUGGCAGUUCUAAGCAAUACCAUUUCCACUUGUUGAAGAAUGGGUUUCCCCAACCCAAAAACUCUGCCUUCCUGGACCAGCACCAUUGAGAGACCAACUCGAUAACGAUGGCAGUAACGAUGUCCCUAUGGUGGAUUUGUAUGGCAAGUGUGGAAGCACGAUUAAUUCUCGGCUGGUUCUACGUCCGGAGAAGACAUGGUAAAGCUGGAACAUAGCGUUUUGAAAACCAUGGAGAAUCAAGCUUCUUUCCAAACCUUGCGAACAGAGCUGAAGCAGGUUUGCUCUAUCGAAGAAUAGUUAAGCAUGGCCUUGCAUCUGCCGCAAACGUCGUGAGCUUGUUACUUCCAUUGAAUCAAAGAGGUCCAUGAAGCUGGACAAGUACUGUGACCAUCGCGUUCCAAAGGGUGACGUUCUUGUAACUUGUUUGAUAAAAGAUCUCAAGUAGCGGAUCCAUGUAUAAGCCAUGGGUAGGAGCGAAGAUCGGAAGUCAUUCGAACAGAUCCCCCUUUUGGGCAUUAAGAUAAGCGCAUUCCAGACCGCUAAAUCUCUUUGUUUCAUGCAAUCAAAGAGAUCCUUUGCCUCCUGGAGCUCUUCUUGGCGAGGUGUGGCAUCUAUGAUCGUCGUCCAUGAGAUCACAUCCAAGCAAGGGAUUCGAACGAAGAGCUUUCGCGCUUUGCACAGCAUCGCGUUCCAGCAGAUCGCAUUCCUGCCAAUGAUCCGAUCAAAGCACUGCUCCGCGCUCUCGGCCUCGCCAGUCCUUCCAUAAACCACAACGAUCGCUGUCCCCACAGCGAUCUGGGUGUAAAUUCCCAGCCAGAUCGCUUCCAUGGCGAUCGCCUUUCCCAGAUCUCAUCCCGGCAAUGGCAUCGAGAACGGUCACGAAGCUGAUGGAAUCCGGCGCCAUCCAAGCCCCGGUAGAAUCGCAGCGCCUCUCUGCAAUGCCCGUUCUGGGCAUACGCCGAGAUGAUUGUUCCAGGACACAAGAUCUCUCUCCGGCAUGGAAUCGAAGAGCUCCUGCGACCGCGGGAGGUCCCAGCGCCCGCGUACCCGGCGAUCAGCGCAUUCCAGGAGACCACAUCGCGCAGAGCCAUUCGCGUGAAAACUUCCCUGACUCUGACAAGAUCCCCUGUCUGGGCAAAUGCUCGAAGCAAGAUCGUCCACGAGUAGACGUUGUGGCGGGCGGUGCCGCUGUGGAAGACGAUCUCUGCAUCGGGCAGGCUGCCGCAGACGCUGUACAUGCGAAUGACGAGAUUCGCGAUGCGAUCCAGGCCUGCCCUGGCGAUCUGCGAGUGAAGAAUGCGCCUCCGUGGGAAAGAAAGAACCAUGAUGCUUUUUAGGGUUUUAGAAUAUUUUCUUGGCGCCAAGAAGCUAUGGCGAUGGCGAUCAGAGGUAGCUCUCGACCUAAUCGAUCGAUGCAUCGAUCCAGAUGGGGCUCGAAUCUUGCUCGUAUUUCCUAGUCUCGAAUCUUUCGAUGCUAUACGCGAUUGCUUACGCUGAGAAAUCUGGGAUGACGCGAAUGCUUCCAAAUCAUUCCUUCGUCAGCAGGGAUCUGUGAAUCUCUCUAACGCAUUCCAUCACUUUUCUUAUAAUAUUUUCUAUGCGUUGUAUCAGAGAGGCCUGGCGAUCGAGAGGAAUAGCUCCAUCAAAUUAGACAAAGCUGGGAUUGCUUUCUACGACCUAUGGCGAUCAUACAGGUUCUACUUUUCCCUCUCAGCUUUUUUUUUUGGUUCUUUCCUUCUUGCUUUUGUCCUCUCGUUUUACGUAUCCUUUUCUUUUUUUCUCCUUGUGUUCCUUCUAGAGCUCUGAUUCAUGCUACAUUGCAAGUUUUCUAGCUAGCCUUUAAGCUUUGUUUCUUUCUUUCGCAAACAUACCACGGUCUUUGGAUCCUUUCCUUUUGCCUGUGUUGUUUUGCUCUCUCUUUUUUUUUUUCUAUACUAUCACAUUGUCCUGCGUUUGUGUGCCAGGAACGAUUUCGCUUUUCCACGUUCUAUUUAUUAUUACUUUCACAUCAGUUCACGUGUGGCGCUGCAGCAACAGGCGUUCUCGUCCAGCCUUUGCAGUGGUCAAGUAGUAUAAUUCUUACCAUCUCUUGUUUCUCUUUUAGUUGAUCGCUAAAGUCGGUGCUUUGUCAUACAGCGGAUCAUUGUCAGGCUCGUCGCAACCGAGUCAAGAGGAAUCCAGGCGAUUUUCAUCUGUCAGUGAGGACCAAGACCGCGGUAAGCUCCUCUGAUUGAGUGAGAGUCCUGUAACUUCGCUUCUGUUACAGCGACAGAGAGUCCGACUCCAAGUUUCCAAGUUUCCAAGUUUUCUUUUCGCUCCACGCGGUGACAGGUUCUUUUUUCUAUGCUGAUGGUUUUUAUAAGAUUAUGUAAAACUGGUCUUGCAGGGUGGCGAGAGAUAUUUCAUUGAAAAUGCGAGGCACAUUGGACAGUCAGUGUCGCUUUGUCACAGGAAUAGAGCAGAGGUGGCCUGGGGACGUGGGAUUCUUGAGCCAUGCAGAGGACGCAACUCCGGGCUGGCACUGAGGAGAAAGUCUGGACGAUUCAAUUUUCCAGGGAGGAGGAAGGAAAAGAAAAGAGGAGGAGACGCAAGGCAUCGGGUCCACUCUUGGUCGUAAAAGGAAGGACGAGACAGCCCAUAUGAGCGCACCAUUAAUGCAGCUGCCACAGAUUUCUCUGCGGCUUGCGGUACUCUUGUAGUUCCAACUGCAAGCACUGGAUGGGAAAACAAAAAAAAACAGAGGAGAAAAGCAGGAGGACGACGAGACGAGCUUCACCGUCGUCUUUGAUUUCGGUGAACAACGCAAUGGAACAGGAGGAACAACAUGGUGGUGUAAGAGGCCAAGUGAUAGACAUUGAGGAGUUCCCUCCCGGGACGAGGUGAAAGUAUUUUAGUAUACAUCACUGGGCCUUUAUUCUAUCUCUGAGGAAGCAGGAACUUCGGGUUGAAUAGUAGCGGUAGUAGUCAGUCAACAGGGAAUGCUCGAGAUCAAUUGAGUCGACGACGGCAGUAUAAAAGAGAAAUCUCUGAAACAGCAAACGAGGACGCUCUCCGCCAUCUUCCUCCGAGCUCCUCCAGCUGAAACCUCUCCUGCGAUGGCGAAAUUCGCAUCGCUUCUACAGGUCAUUGCUCUUCUUCUUCAGCUGGCCGACUGUAGGAAGCUCAAACAGCAGCAGCAGCACGGUAAGUUUUUUUCAAGCAAGAACUUCCUCCAAAGUCUCACAAACAGCGGUUUUUUCUUCUUGCAGGAGACUCUUCGACAGCUUCACUCCCGACGGUAAGCCACGGCUGGUUUCGUUUUUCUAGCCCUCAUUUCGGAUAGUCUUUGCUGCAGACUAGUAGCAACUGUCUUAAAUUCGAUUCCACCGGUCUCAAAUGCGACCAGACUUUUCCAGGUUCGUAAAUACAUGCUGUGAAGAGCACGGCGUUUUUAAUCCCAGCUUUGUCAAUUCAACAGAGUCAAUCGAGAAAUCCCGGCUGCUGCUCGCGACUAAACCAGUUAAGCCCCCCACAAAGUUCUCUUUUUCCAAGUCUCUCACACCGCUUUCGCCUUUCCAGGAAGAGCUAGUGACCGAUCGAGCGUAUGAAUCCAGUCCCCCAAAGCGAACAAAUCUCAGUGACGCUUCUUCCGCCACCGCUGCGACUUUGGACGACGAAUUCACCGCUCCAUCGACGAGAAAGGAGCUGAGCGAGGACGAUUUCGAGGAGACAAUGAGGACAGACUACGCUCCAGUUCGUCGCAAGCCUCCCAUAAACAACGAAGUUCCAUUCUUCGCCAGUGACGCGACGCGAAGAACUUCUCCUUGAUCAAUGCUUUUUACCCCUGUACAUAAUCUAUCAUCGGUGACUCUUGGGAUUCGAACCUGACACCUAAUUAGAUUCUUUUUUGUACCUUUCUAUUUGUCACGUGGCCACAUCCUGGCCGUCGUAGAGUAGCGAAAAUCGACGGCCAGGGAUGGAUCCCAAGAAUAUCCGGGCUUUUGAAGCCAAAGGAAGCUAGGCUAGGCUAGACGUCUUCUAUGAUUGAUAAUCAGGGUUUGGAGGAGGGGAGCGCAUGAUCGUGUUCGCUGCCGCUGCCCUCGCGCUAGGUAGGAUUCUGGCCUCUCUCGAUCUUUCCAGGCUUCUGGUGCUAGAAAUUUGUCCAUCGCGGAGUGUGUGAGGAUCACGGAAUGCGCGUGAUUGCGCCGCAUUGUGGCCCCGGCGACGCUGUUGGUGUGGAGAUUUAUAGCGGAGGGGAGCUCGCGGCGGUGGAUUUCUAGCGGAUAAGCGGCGCCAUGAAGGGUUUCUUCAAGCACAAAUCCAAGUCGCCGGCGGAUCUAGUGCGGUCGGCGAGGGAGCUGCUCCAGGCGCUCGAUCAUGUCAACUCCCUCAAGGAUUCCAAGAGAGAGGAAAAGGUAUUUUAUUUUUUCAAAGUUCUUGCUAUACACAUGUGAAUGGUUGUGUGCUUGUGUAGAUCGCGGAGCUGUGCAAAAACAUUCGAGACAUCAAAAUCUCGCUAUAUGGGAACAAUGAAUUUGAUCCUGCGCCGGACUCGUGCGCGCAAAUCACACAGGAGAUUUUCCAGCACGACACGUUUCGAUUGAUGAUAGUUUGUCUACCGAAGCUGGAGCUCGAGGUAAAUCUUUAGACUGUAUGGAGGCUUUCUUCUUGACUUAAGGGAGUGUAACAGGCUCGAAAGGAUGUGACCCAGAUUGUUGCGAACUUACAGAGGCAGCAAGUCCAGUCGAAAGUCUUGGCUUGCGAAUACCUGGAAAGGAACAAGGAUUUGCUGGACAUGCUCAUCCUUGGGUAUGUUAAUUUCUAAAAUUCCUUUGUGUUUAUUGUCUGCUCUUUCAUACUGCAGAUAUGAGAAUGCGGAUCUUGCAUUGCACUACGGGACGAUGUUUCGGGAAUGCAUCCGGCAUCAAAGCAUGGCGCGGUAAGUCUUAGUUUUUAGUUUUCCUUUUUCUAUCUCGUAACUGUUGGCUUCACAGGUACGUCCUGGAAUCCACUCACUUCAAGAAGUUUUUCGAGUACAUCGAGCUGGCAAACUUUGCUGUCGCUUCGGAUGCCGCUGCGAGUUUCAAGGUCUUGUUAGACUGAUCCUGCUGCAUGGAUGAUUCCAAAUGUUGCUUGCUGCCCUCCAGUAUGUGUUUACAUGAUUGACUUGCAGGCUCUUUUGCACUGGUUUCUGACGAUGAGCUAUCCUUGAUCCUUAGGAGCUUCUUACGAGACAUAAAUCUACUGUGGCUGAGUACCUGGCAAGAAACUACGACUGGGUAUCUUUCUUCUCCAAUAUUUUUUUUUUCCGAAGUCUUCCUGACGUGUUUCUUUCUUUUUCUAGUUUUUUCAAGAGUACAACACGAGGCUUUUAGAAUCUCCAAACUACAUCACAAGGAGACAAGCUGUCAAGGUAUCAAUCACUUUGAGACGCUUCUUUUUGUUCACUCCACCAAAAUCUUUGUUUGCUAGCUUCUCGGGGAUAUGCUCCUGGAUAAAUCAAACACUGCAGUGAUGAUGCGCUAUGUCGUGUCAAAAGAGAACCUUCGAAUCAUGAUGAAUCUUCUCCGGGUAAGAUUUCAUGGCAACAUUCUUCACGUUUUUUUUAUUGUUCUGGCCUUCACAGGAACCGAGCAAAAACAUCCAGAUCGAAGCCUUCCACGUUUUCAAAGUGAGCAAAAAUGGCGCUGCUAUGAUCGAUUAAAUCACUCGCUGCGAUUGUCUCAGGUGUUCGUAGCCAAUACCAACAAGCCACCGGAGAUCGUGAGCAUCCUGGUAGCAAAUCGGAGCAAACUACUUCGAUUCUUCAGCGAUUUCAAGACAGAGCAAGGUAUGUUUUCUAUGAUUCUUGGGUGUGAUCAAACAAUGAUGAUUUGGCUCUGUAGAAGACAAGCAUUUCGACCAGGACAAAGCGCAAGUCGUCAAGGAGAUUGUAAAUUUGGAGCCGAGAGAUAUGAUAUAAGAAGUCGUGGAGAGAGAAUAAAAGGAAAAAAUCUCGUAUUUGCCAUUUGUCGGCGCCGCUAGGUUUGGGAAACCAUUUGCUUGUAUUUGGAGGCGCCGCUAGGUUUGGGAAACCAUUUGCUUGUAUUUGGCGGCGCCGCUAGGUUUGCCGCCAUAUCUAGCGCCUCUCUUCUUUCUCUUUGUUAACACAAAGAAAAGCUCUCGUGAGGGUUUUUCAAUUUUUCCCCAUCUAUGACAAGGUCCCGCUGCGAGCCCUGCGGAUUGGAGGCGACAAUUUUGCUCCCCCGGCCGCGAUUCUCCAUCCAGAGGUGAGAUUCUUGCGAGAAAUGCCCGGCGCUGCAAGGCAGGAGCGGUAUUUCGAUCCCAGGGCUUAGAACAGAAAGAAGAGGGCAAUGGAAGGGAAAGUAUCGCAGGAUGAGAGCCGGCGAAUGGUAUCCGAAUUCUUCGUCAAGAGCUUGAAUGUGAUCCUCGGCGCGAGGAUCCCAUCCAAGUAUUUGCAGCCAGCGACGAGCUCUUCCUCCGCUAGCGCUAGCACCAACAAGAGCUUCAAUCUCGUGCUGGUGAAUUCUCCCAUGAGGAACAAAUGCCACUUGAGCGUGGUGGAGCCGAUCGUGGUGGACGUGCUGCUGCUCCAUCACGGCUCCAGUGCUUGCGCUGCGAUCGAGGACCAUGUUUUCCGGUGGAGUCCAAGCCAGCAGACCCAGCAAAGCCAGUCAUUGCUCGAGCGCUGGGUGGUACACUGCGUUCCCUGGGCGUGUCUCAAGAGCAGCGAGAAGACCACCCAAAGCCCAGAUCAUGUCACGAAGAACAAGACCGCCACCGCCAAGAAGCCGCCGCUCUCACGGCGAUCGGUGGCGGCGCCGCCACCCUCGGCCGAGGAGAAGAAAAAUCCGUGGAAGAAGGCGAUGAAAAUGCUCAGCAUCAUGCUGCGGUCGCUCUACAAUCUCACGCGGCUCCUCCCGGCUUACAGGAUCUUCCAGCAGCUCAACUCGUCCAGCUCGCGAGGAUCUCCCGGCUGCUGCCACUUUGAUCUCUCAUACAAAGUGAGGAGCACUCUCAGCGUGACGGGGCAUGGAAGCUCCGACAAGAGCCUUUGCAAGUUUAACCUCACGCCGGUGGAGACGGAGCUGGGACGGAUGUGCAUCUCGGUCAAGUACUCGGAUGCUGCCAGCGUCGAGAGAGCCAUUCAGCGAACCAACUCCAUCUUCUCGGAGAUCAUCCAGGACUACGUUGGUGGUGGUGGUGGCGAUGGUGGCGGCGGUUCUAGUGGUUCUUCCCAGAAUCCACACUUUGCUGUGAAGGAUAGGAGGAUCUGUGCUGCUACUCGGACGAUGUCGAGCAACAUACCAGCGGUAAGUCUUUCUGUUUUUCGGUUUUUCUCUGCUUUCGUUGGAUAGUUUGCUUGCUUUGCUCUCGAGUUUUUGGUUUCUUCGAGCGUUUGGUUUCUUUGUUUUCGUUGGAUUGUUCUUUGCUAUCGAGCUUCUGGUUUCUUCCAGCGUUUGGUUCUUUGUUUUCGCUGGCUACUUUGCUUGCUUUGCUCUCGAGUUUUUGGUUUCUUCCAGCGGUUUCUUUCCUUUCGUUGGAUAGUUUUCUUGCUUUGCUCCAGCGUUUGGUUUCUCUCGUGUUCUUCCUGAUUUCUUUGAAAGUGUAUGAUUGAUUGCUUGCAGUAUUUGUAAGAGUGAGUGUUAAGAUCUUUUGCUUGUUUGUAUCAAGAGCUGUUCAUCGAGUUCCUACGUUUGAAUUGCCUUCUUUUCUGCUGGAUGUCUUAAGAAGUUUUCGAUUUGGAUGUCAAGCAGGCUGAAGUAGCAGCAGUAGCAGCUGUGAAGCGAUCUUACAGCAGCCCUUUGAAUCCAAUCGAGCUCGAUCAACAGCAGGAACUCGUCUGUCCAUUUGCCUGCGACGACGAGCGAAAAGUCUCGAGAGACGCCGCCGCGGGUGCUCUCAUCACAGCUCUCGUCUCCGCGGUUCCAAUCGAGAAAUCUCCUCCUCGUGACAAAUGCUCACGAGCCACAGGCACUCUUCGCGAAGCUCUUCGCGAGCUCAGGAGCUAUACAGACAUAGCUAGAAAGAAAGCUGUGAAUAUUUAAAAUGUACAUAUCAACGGCCACGAUUCAAGCUCUAAGGCAAGGGUUUGAAUCGAUGGCCAGGAUUUCUAGUUCAUAUUACCGUUGAGGGGGAUUUUGAUCGCUCUAGGGCUUUUCAGUCGAAGCAUCGGGCCGGGCGCGCGAUCCGGAGGCUCCUCCCAGAGAUUUCUACGCGAUUUCUAGCGAUGGAGUGGGAGCUGAGCAAGGAGAAUGUGCAGCCGCUCCGCAAGGGCCGGAAAAAUGUCGAUCUGCUCAACCAGGGGCUCAAGGCGAAGCAUAAAUCUCCUGCACGCUCCGUGCUGAUCGAACAGAGAAGGUGAGUUCUUUGCCGCCCGCGCGCUUCCUGGUUUUGAUUUGCUUUCUCGGUCAGGAUUUUGCUCGAGAAGAUUGAUGACUACGUCGGCGAUGAUCCCUUGGAGCCCUGGAUAAGGUAAUGCGCUAUAGAUUCGUGCCCGUUACGAAUCUAUUUCUUUCCAGAUGCAUCGAGUGGACGAAGGAAGCUUUCCCUUCCGGCGGUAGUCAGUCUGGGAUUCUUCCAAUGCUGGAGCUUUGCCUGCGAACGUUCUGCGACGAUUCAAAGUAUAAGUCGGAUUUGCGGUACCUCAAGCUAUGGCUGGACUAUGUAAGCUCUUGUUUUUUUUUUCUUCCUUUCCUGUUUAUCUAGCUCUAGCUUCUCGGCUCUUCUUUUUUAUUUUCUUCCUUUUCCUGUUUAUCUUGCUCUAGCUUCUAGAAAACUAACUUGCGAUGUUCCAGGCGGACAGAUGCACUCAUCCGCGGGACAUUUAUGUCUUUCUGGAGGUGAACGACAUUGGACAGACUUACGCACAGUUUUACGAAGCGUAUGCAUCGUACCUGGAAAGGUGCAAAAAUCUAUCCAAGGCUAACGAAGUUUUUCAGAUCGGUAUUGCCAGGUUCGUAUGAUUUCUCGACUUUGCAGGCUUUGGUUAAUCCUGGACGACUUUCUGUGAGGCAGGGCAGCGGAGCCAGUUGAGGAGCUGAAAAUCAAAUACAAGAGCUUUCUUGAGCGAACUCUUAGAAAACCAAAACCAGAUGCUGUAAGUUUCAGAACGUUUAUGCGGUGUAUGCGGCUUAUACUGUUGGUACUGUAGGAGGAAGACACUGUGGACGAAGGGCUUGCCAGAUCAUUUGGAUCCCUCGUCCUUCCACAAUCUGGACAAAGAACAGGUAGGCUGUUUUGUUUUGUGGCUUGAGUUUUCACUUAACAUGUUCUACUGCUCAGGAAGCAUGCCGAGCAGGCCUCCACAAAAGCCUUCGAAGGGCAAUGCGCCACCGCUGUCUAAGCAGACGUAAAAUGUGACUGUUCUAUGUGUGCUGUUCUAAGGUUCGACCCAUGCAGGUUCUCUGUGUUUGUCGAUUCGGAGCUUAAUCCAGCAUCGAAAGUACCUGGACUGCAUGAGAACGGUGCUCAAGGCCACGCCUUACCUGUUUGGACCAAUUUAGGAUCUCAAGCCGAGAGGACGAAGGAGAACGUUCAACAGCCGACUAGAUGGAAUGAAGCAAAGGUUAGUGAUGAUGAUCAUGCACUUGCUCUGAGAACGUUUUGUUCAGAUUCCUCAAAGGCCCUCCAGGCCCGUUUCUGUGUCGACUGAAGCACUGGAUGUCUACGUUGACGAAGAAUUCACCAGGUACAGUAAUAUUCAGAAAUUUUCAUCUCGCGCUGCUUCAUGAAGUUACUGCAGUGUGGCAUCUCGAAGCUGGAAUCGCAGAAUAUCUACUGCAGCUCUGAAAGUUCGGCUCUCCCGCGGUCAAGACAUCAAGAUGUAAGCUUCAAUUGAACUUCUGAUUGAUCUAUAGAUACUCAGCCGCUCUCUUUUCUUUCCAGUGACACUGAAAUGCUGAAGCAAGCUCCGCUCCGAAACUUCUCAAGGGAGCUCAGAUAGCCACUAGUACACUUUGCCAUGAACUCUAUGGCUGCAAUUUUAACAAUGUCUUUGGGAAUUUUUGUUGAACAACCGCUUUUCGUAAUGGAAAGACUACAGAACUUUUGACAUCUCGCUCUUCCUCGUGAAACAACAAAAGACUGGUAACUAUUGUUGAUCAUAUUUCAUUUGCAUGGGCAUUGGACCAAACAGUGACUGAAGGAAGUAGUUCAAAUAGACAUACGAAAGUUCUGACGACUACUUUUCCUGUUCUUUCAGAACUUGCGAGGGAAGAAAACAUAGUUGUUGAUUCCACAACGGCCUCCAUAGAGUCCAGUUCCACGCUGAAUCUUCAUGUAUCCUUGCUCACCCCAUUUGGUUCCUCUCGAGUUCUUUAAGAUCCAGUAAUCGUCCCCGUUGUCGCUUCCAUAGCCAACGAUCAACACUGCGGUGAGUCCAGUGUCUCCAGUGCUGUGGCAAGGCCCUUUGAAGAUUCCCUGCCAAACAAACACCCAAGUAAGUAACUCUUUUCAGUAAAUAACGUCUACUUCGGAAGUACUUACUCCAGUGUAUUUUACAAAAUCUUUAGAGGAACCAUCAAUGAGAGCCGUGACUGGCUGCUGUGCGACCCUCAUCUUUAACUCUUCUUCAAUAUCGGAAGCUGAAACUCCGGGAGCACACAGAGAGCCCCGCAGUGUGUCGAAACCAUCGAUGAACACCUUGUAUGGAUUCUGAAAGGCAAAUGUGUAAGUCAUCUUUGUUGCCACUUUUUCUUAUAACUCACCCCGAUGUGGCAGGUGCUGUUUUUCCCGAUGUAAGGAUACGAGGCGCUUGCUUCCAGCCCCGUUUUCUGAAUGUAGACGAAAGAGUCCUGCGGGAAGCCGUAGUCGCAUCCGCCAUUGUAGACAUCGCAGUCGAUGAGUUCUUGGGCCGAGAGCUCCACCAAGUUCCCGGUGACGAUCUUGUUCAGGCCCUCCACCGCUCCAGCAGUUGCAAAGGCCCAGCCUCCACCUAGAAAGAACGAGAAAUACUUUAAGACCAACAUCUCGACAAAGCAGGAAAAGAAAGAACUCCAGGGAAGUAACUCGAGAACUGGCAACAGGGAAGGGCGAAGCUACAUUCUUACCAGUGCAGUUACCAACAUCUUUCACGGACGUCACAGCCCCCUCCUUCCUCCAGUCGACAGCUUCUGGAACGUGAGGAAACGGAGGCCUCCUCGGCUCAGGAGGCUCAUCAGAAUGAUCGACUUUGGUCCGCAGGACAGGCGAAGCAACCCGAGAUGGCAGACGAGGCUUGAACUCCUCGUGAUCCAGGUCCGGAAGAUGGUCCAGGCCCAGCCAGUAGAGCCGGAGGUUCCUAUAGUAGUCGUGGAGCAUCCUCACAUUACGCUUGAAGAGCUCAAACUUACGCUCCUCCUCGGCUCUCUCGGCAUACACUCUCGAGUGCUCGGCUCUCCAACGAUCAAACAUGAACUUAAAGCCAGCAUCCGGGUCGAGCUCCUCGGGAGCGUACCAGAAGUUGGGACCCUCGCGAUCCUCAUCACGACCAUGGUGAGGGAAUGCAGCAGCCACUACUACUAGUGUGAAGCAACAGGCGAGAAGAGCUAAGAGGACGUGACGACGAGACAACGCCAUGGCUACUAGACUUUUAAGGUUUGAGAACGUUUGCUCGGUUAUAUAGUGAGAUAUUUACGACAGGUUGCGCGGGCAUGGAUAACGUGGGAGCGAGAAAAUCGAAUCGCUUGAAGGUACCGCCAGGGUAAACUUUUCUUUUCGGCUAGGUGUCCGUCUUAGAAGAGUGACAAGUCACAGAAGCGAGACGUCUUUGCAAGCUUUUCUUUUACAAGUUAUAUCUUAAGCAGGCGAAUACAUUUAGUAGCAAUGGGGGCCAUAUCCACAAACGGUUGUGAUCGGGCAGCAUUUGAACAAAAACAAGCAGGAUGGAAACAUACAGCAGCAUUUCUGACCAUACCCACAUGGUGGGCAAAGUGGCGAUGGUGGUGGAGGUGGUGGGGGUGGGGGUGAGGGUGAGGGUGGUGGUGGCGGUGGUGGUGGGGGUGAGGGUGGUGGAGGUGAUGCUGUUGGUGGUGAUGGUGGUGGGGGUGAGGGUGGCGAUGAUGGAUGUGGCGGGGAGGGUGAUGGUGAUGGUGGUGGGGCUGAGGGUGAAGGUGAAGGUACUGGUGCUCGUGAUGGUGAUUGGGUAGAACCUUGACCAAAGCUUAUGCUUGACUGAUAUUCAUUGGGUACUUUCAUCUCUAUGAUACUACUCAACGAUUCCAGCAUUUUACCUCCCAGACUAUUGGAGCUAACCAUGGAUUUACCAAGAAUCAUCAGCCUACACACAUUAUUCUUGAAUAACUCAUGCCUGUUUGCUCCCUUGUUUACGGUGGUGCCAUCAUCCUUCCCACACCAUUCCCUGAGUAAACCUUCCGUGGAACAAGCAUUUUGAUUCUUGAGAGUUGAACCAGCAGUGGAUUGAGUGAGGAUCACAGUGAAGAGCAGGAGACAGCACCAAUGGGAAGAACUGGAAGAAGCCAUUACUCAAAAAGUCUCAGAUUCUCUGCCGUAUAUAAACUCAAAUUGCAACCACUAGAAAAAAUUAUCAGUAGCAAACAAAUUGCGUGGCAUUCCACCUCAACCAUUUCUGUAGCUUGCAUCUUAUCAAACAAGACACUUGUCUAGAAGAGCAGCCCACACAUCACGCACAACGCCAAAACAUAUUUUAAAGCAAAGGAAUUUCAGACCACCUCAGAAUUAGCCAUAACAACCAGCCUGGGACAAAAGAAUUAUCUGCGUAGUAUUUUCUUGACUGGUGGUAUACCAACAAGUUUGGGUGUAUUGCUUCCAGAUUCAAAUACACCGUUUGACAUUUGCAGGUUGUGUGCCAAGAAGCUUGAGAUACUAGAAGGGCACAUUUAUGCUCACCGGAAAGACGUAAAGAUGACAAUCUUAUGGGAUUUCUCAUGGUGAAAAGAUUUCAAAGUUUGGUCUCUCAUCAAGCCUUAACUGAAUUCAAGAAAAUCAAAACAAAUCUAAGCUCUAGAAAUUCAUUGAAUUUACAUUACAGUCAAGUUAUGAGAAAACAAAAAGAAUGAAUGUACAAAUUUCCAGCUUCGUCGUCAGGUUUCCAGUCAGGAGCUUCGCUCUGGUGUAGAGAACUUCCCAAGCUCCACGAUCAUGACGGUCACAUCGUCGAGGCACCCUCGCUUGAGUGUCAGGUCUACCAAUCGUCGGCACGCAGCACCUAAGCUCGACAAUCCGGGAGUUGAAGCAGCACCACGAGAAUCUAGUUGGAUCGAUUCACGCUUCGCUCCCACCUUGAGGGCCAACAAUGCGCACUCCGCGGCUUCCUGGUUUGACACCUAGGAAAGCGAAGGUCAGCACAUCACGGAGAAGACGUAAAAAAAGAGAAGAUUUGCUCUUCACAAGGAAAACGUGAGAGAAGAAAAGGAGAAAGGGAGAGAGAGAGAGAGAGAGAUGGAGAUGUUUUCCACAAGGAAAGUUUCCAGAGAUGACAGGAGAAAGGAGCUCAGAGAGAGAGAGAGAGAGAUGGCUAUGGCGCUCUCACCAGGUCCCAGAGUCCAUCGGACGCCAAGAUGAGGAACUCGCAGUCGCUGGUCAGCGGCAAGCUCACCACGUGUGGAUCGCACGAGAUGAAUUCCUUCAAAUGUAUGUCUCCAAUUCCUCUCGACACUGCCAGCACGCCCUGGACCCUCCACGUCCCCGUGUAGCGAUCCACGAUUCCACCCUGGAAGAACGCGUUGGUGAUCGAAUUCUAGAAGAUAUGGAUGAACUUACGAGACUUUCUACUCUCCGGCGCUCCGACUCGGAGCUGAAUCGAUGAUCCUGCGUGAGCUGGAUGGCCGCGCCGCCGGAUUUCACGAGCAGCGCCCGGCAAUCCCCCGCAUUGGCGACGAUGAGCUCGUUCCGGGCAAUUAGCGCCGAGACGCAGCUCGCGCCACUGCUAGAACCCUAGAAAACCAAGAAAAUUUCAAGCGUGGGGAUCGAUAGAGCUCGAUCGUUACCUGGCGCAAGAACUCGUCAUCCGUGGUGUGGUAUCCCAUCCGGAUCUCCUGCGCACCGAUUUGCAUCGCGCCGGCCUCGUCGGUAGGGCAAGCCGCCUUGACGAUGUUGUCCAGGAGAUUGCGCGCUGCGAAUCUCGCCGCCGCGCGCCCGCCAUGGCCAUCGAAGACGCCAAAGAAUCCCUGUAACCAGAUCCAUUGAGCCAAGAACCCUAAAAUUCCACGGAAGAGAGAGCCCAAGAACCCUAAAAUUCCAGGAAGAAGAAGAGAUGGAAGGAGGUAUCACCUGCUUGGGCAGUGCCGUGAAGCUGUCCUCCAUGAUCUGGCGCCGCCCCUUCUUACACGCGACGCCAUAGCCAUGGCCAGCGUGCGUGAGGUCGGAAUAUUCGUCGUCCACGCACUCCUCCGCCGUGGAAGAUUCCCUCUCCGACGCGGGAAUGGCGAGCCUGGGCGGCCGCUUCCUCUUGAGCAAGCUCGCCGGCGGCGCGGGCGAUUUCAUCCCCGGAUCGCCGUCGCCGCCGCCUCCGAUCGACGCGAUGAGCAGCUCUUCCUUGACCACCGCCGCCGCCGACGACCUGGGCGAGAGCGGCGAAGAGGGCGACGCGAAUUUGCCCGGCGACGAUGCCAGCGAGCACAGCAAUCGCGUGGGCGAUGGGCAAGUCGCCGCUACCGCCAUGAUCAUCGAUCGAUCGCAAUUGGCGAGGAACACCAGCGAUCGAUUAUCGAUCACUCCUUCCAGCCCAGGAAACCAAGAUCGAGCCUCGCCACUUCCAGCGCCCCCGGAAAGAGUCUCUCGCCCUUUUUUCCUCUCUUCCCACUCUUUUCUCUCGCGCAAAGUCGCCCACACGAGAGACGAAGAGUUAAAAUCGCGACCACCUCUCCUCUCACAUUGACCGGGCUUUACUAGCGGCGAUUCGUUCGUUCGUGCGGGUCUUCCACGAAAACUUCUCCCUCUCUCUCUCCCUCUCUCUCUCUCCCUCUCUCUCUCUCUCUCACACACGCAACGGUAGCUCUUCUUCUUCUUCCUCCUUUUCUCGACCUUAAGAGAAAAAAUUCCUUGGAUCCAUUCACUCCUCCUCCUUCCUCUCGGCUCGGCUUAAAGAGAGAAAAUUCCUUUCCAACGAUCGAUCCGUUCACUGGCGCUGGCGUGGAUUAGAUUCGAUUCCACUGCUUUCCCUGUGGCUUUGCUGCGCGGAACCAAAGCCUGACUAGAACUUGUGCCAGGCGCGCGAUUGACCCGGCUAAAGAUAUAUAAUCCGGCCGCACAGCACAGCCACCAAAUUCAUUUACAAUUUCACCGCCACGACUGGACUUUCCAGAGUCCAUCUUCUUCGCUCUGCGUAGCUUUCAAUAUAAACGACUUCAAAGUAGAUCUCUUCUCAAGUCCAGACUUUUCCAGCGACUAUAAAAGCUUUCCCAGGUAGAAAGAACUUCCAAAAAACCUCCCAACUUUUCGCGUGAGUGCGAGAGAUGCCCGAUGAUCAAGCUCUACACGUUUCGCCACUAUUCCCAAAGCUUUCCAUCACCACUUCCACCUCAGUCCCAUCAAAAUCCAAACUUCCUUUCUUCCAGAGAAAAAGAGAUCCUCCACAAAACCUUCCAUCCUUUCAUCCCUGUGCCUGUGCCAGUCCUAUAGCAUAUCCAACCUCAGUCGCAUCAAAAUCCAAACUUCAGCCUCCACAAAACUUUCCAUCCUUCCAGCCCUGUAUGCCUGUUCACCAAAAUCCAAGCUUUUCCAAGCCCUGUCCCUGUGCCGUUCCAUGCAUGCUCUAGCUCGUCAAACCUUCCAGACAAGUCUUCUCGGAGUCUCAGUCUCACAGUCCCAGUCCUCGUUCCAAGCACUGGCGUCAUCCAACCUUUCUCCAUCAAAGCUUUCAAGUUCCUCGUCUGACUGUCCGAUGGUCGGCUGAUCCUGGAUUCCUUCCCUGCCUGUUGCAUUCCUGCUUUUCCCUUGCGAGCUCUUCACGUACUGUGACCCGUUGUACGCUUGUGGCGACUGAAAUCCGAGACAAACCUGUAGCUCUUGCCGCACUCGGUGCAGGCGUAGGGCCUCUCGCCGGUGUGGACUCGGAUGUGCUCCGUUCGGGCCCAGGACCAUUUGAACGUCUUCUUGCAGCCUUUCCAGGGACACUUGAGAGGCCGGUCGUCGGCAUGGACGCGGUAGUGCUGCAUCAGGUAGCUGUGCGAGCAGAGGCGCUUGGAGCACUCCUUGAUGGUGCAGAUGUUGCGCUUGUGCAGAGCUAGCUCGCUCGCUGUUCGGAAGCUCAUCGUGCAUCCAUCGAAGUCGCAAGUGUGUAGUCCAUGAGAGUGCACCAUGCCGGGAGCAAGCUUGCGCUUCGUCGCCUCGCUGCCAGGCCUUUUUGUCGACGUCGAAGCCUUCUUCGCUCCUCCUGCAAGGGACAAAAGUUUCAUGUUGGUUGCUUCACGCAUAGGAAACGUACCUCGUCUAGGAGCUUUCUCUUGUUCUUCUGCUGCUUGAGCUUUCCAGCUCUUGCGCUUGGUCCUCUUAGCUCUGGAUUCCAGACCAUACUCUGCGGCUUCAUCCACAGCGCGUUCGUCAUCCUCAACAGACGAAGCUGACACAUUGCUAUAAUUCUGCUCCUCCUCGUCUUCCUCUUCUUCUUCUUCAUCAUAAUCUUCUUCCAGGUCCUCGUCUGUUAGCUGUUUCUCUUCGUCGCUAGCCUCCAAAGAUGAAGCUAUUUGAGUCCUUUUCCUCUUUGGGAUUCCUAUCUUCAAUGGCGUCCUGUGAGCCGUCGGCCAUGCCUUUGGCUUCUCAUCCAUGUACGAUGAAUGAAAAGUUGGAGAAAACGAGAUAGGCACGUCAUGCCAUACGCUGUUUGAGAAACAGAGCGUCGAUCCUGCACCAUGCUGACCAUCGUCUUCAGUGAUCACCACCGAAACAGGCUCAUUUUCAGCAGCUACAGGCUCAGGCUCCUUCUCCUUGGAUUUCUGCUCAGGUUCCUCCAGAGGAGCUGGUAACACUUCCUUAUAUGCCGCAACAUUCUCCUGAGGGGCCUCUUCGUCCAAAACCACAGCUUCACGAUGAAUCUCAGGCUCCUCCUUGCAGUCCACGAUAACUAGCGGCUUGGUCGUUUCCUCAGGACACGGCAGCUCCAACUUCCCGUUUUCUUCCUUUUCUUCCUUGCAAACUAGAGGAGGUAGAGGCCGGACUUCUUCAGACGAGCGAUUCUCCGUUCGAAGCUCUGGCUCUGACACUUUGACAUCCUCGUCAAGAGAAGCAGCAUUCUCGGUCUUGACAUCGUUGGCCUCGAGUUCAGAAGGAAGACUUUCACUUAUUUGCGUGGAGCAAGGCUGAGGCUCGGAUUCAACCCGCCAUACUGCAACCAUUUGUGUCCGUUUCCUUUUCCUACAGUUUUUCCUGAGGCUUGCAUAGUCCUCACUCUUAAGUAUGUCCUCGUCGUGGCCGCCUUUACUUUUCCCGGUCUUACUAUCCGCUAACUCAUCCUGGUUAUCUUCUACUUUGGAAGCUGUUCGGCACCCUCCUAAAAUGGCGUGCGUCUGAUCAUGUCUCCAGACCCGACCACACCAACGCCCGACUACUUUCUUCUCCUUCGAUGUCUUCUCUACCACCAAUUCAGUGUCAUCUUCGUCUGUUUCUGCCCUGCUGUUUUCUAAAAAGGAUGCUGUCGCUGGAAGCCUUGCCUGAACAUGAUCAAUCCAACCGUUGUCAGGUCUCUCAGCCGCUUCGAUUGCAGCGCUGAUGAGUUGCAAAUCCUGCUGGUUCUCCUCGUCAUAUGUGGUAUCUCUGAAGCGACACCGAAUGCUCAUAUCCAUUGCAAAGUCCUUCGCAUUCUUAUCGAACAUCUCAUACUCUGUAAGCACAUGAAAGAAAAGAAAAAAAAGGAAUCAGUUCCACAAAGCAGCUGAAAAACAGCGAAGCAUUUACCUGGAUGAUAAACAACCAGCACGAGGCUUCCCCCGCAACCUUGGAGCAGCAAGGAUACCUGUAACGCGUGCUCCGAGCACAUGAUAUAUGGACGCUGUAAGUUAUCCCGGCCUGCUUUCCUGCUCCCAUUCGGAAGUAGAACCUUCCGAGACGACCCAUUCUCAUCUUCCUGUCCGUGGUUCUCAUCUGUGACUGUCAAUCUUCCUUCCCGAAUACUCUCACUGGCUUUGGACGUCGGCUGAACGAUCACUACGCAAGAGUAGCACAGAAUACCGCAAAUGGAACAGCACACAUUCCCCCAAUCAAUUCGAGGAGGACUGUUUUUACCGAGGGUCUUAUCAUCGCCAACCUUCUCGUCGGCGCCUUCCAUGGUUUCGCACACAAAUGAUAGCAGCGAGAUAGAGUCAAUUGUGCCUAGGUUCACCAGGUUGGAGAGACUCUCCUUCCCGUCAUCUCCCUUGAGAAUAACCCGCCUUGCCUGUGUCAUGCUAACGAGUUUGUCGAGCACCUGUUGAUUCUUGGCCAUGUCGUUGACGAACUCUGUUCUUACUGCUUCCUCUGCGCCGACUUUCAUUUUGUGCUUUAGUCUCGAACUUCGGACAUCCUGUGCGUUUGAACUAGCAACAAAAAUUCGUCAAUUCAAUCAAUCAUAGAUGGAUAGCUUGGUUUUGUUACCUUUUCGCAAAUGCUAGUGCUGUUUGGUAUAAUAAUUUCUCAUGGCAAACCAUCGGAGGACGGCAUAAUAAUUCUUUGCGAGCAGCUGCUUGCUUGGCAGCUUUCAACCAGCCUGGACUUGCUAAACUGCUGGUUUCACCGCAAUUGAAACCUGGAAAACGUAAUGUAAGUAAUAAACCACAAGCAAAGCGCGCCUACUAUGGCUGAAGCUGAAAUUAUACGCCCUCGGAAAAACGAUGACGUACUCUCCAGGGUUCUGCACAAGUCUGAGAUGCGCUUGUCACAUACAUGCAAACGAUCGAAAAUCAAAAGAAACACCUGCAGCAGGGAACGCCAUUGAUCACGAGCACUUCCGGGCUGACGACGGAGUUAUCGUCUACAAACAAAAACACAUCGCGAGUAUCAAGGAAAAAAUCCUUAGCAAACCAUCACUAACCUUGGUUUCUUAAAACGUCCUCGAAAGCAGGAGCCGCGCCGGGUGGCACCACAUACCACGUCUUCGGAGCACCCAGAUGCAAAUAGUCCACAAAGUGGAGGUCGUGGCUCUCGGUUCUCCAUGACCAGUGGCUGAAGAGCAUGGCUAUGUAUAACAGCGGAGACGUCACGCCUUGGACCUCGCCAGGCAUGAAUCUCAGCAAAGAUCCCUGUAACUUCGCCAAGUAUCUCAUGUUCCAGGGACUAUUGACGAGCUUCCACCCUUCCCUGUCCACAGCACUCUUCUUCCUUUUCUUGCCAUCGCCCUGCUCGCUAUCACUCUCCGGGAACGCGGAGCCUGGAAUAUAGUCCGCAUAUUCCACAGUCACUGGCUUAUCCUCCUCGAUUGUCUUCCAGAACAGAGCCUCCAAGA